UNUGACUUGAGUGCAGAAGGGGAGAGUGGAAUUCCAUGUGUAGCGGUGAAAUGCGUAGAUAUAUGGAGGAACACCAGUGGCGAAAGCGGCUCUCUGGUCUGUCACUGACGCUGAGGCUCGAAAGCGUGGGUAGCGAACAGGAUUAGAUACCCUGGUAGUNCACGCCGUAAACGAUGAGUGCUAGGUGUUAGGCCCUUUCCGGGGCUUAGUGCCGGAGCUAACGCAAUAAGCACUCCGCCUGGGGAGUACGACCGCAAGGUUGAAACUCAAAGGAAUUGACGGGGGCCCGCACAAGCGGUGGAGCAUGUGGUUUAAUUCGAAGCAACGCGAAGAACCUUACCAGGUCUUGACAUCCCGAUGCUAUUCUUAGAGAUAGGAAGUUACUUCGGUACAUCGGAGACAGGUGGUGCAUGGUUGUCGUCAGCUCGUGUCGUGAGAUGUUGGGUUAAGUCCCGCAACGAGCGCAACCCUUAUUGUUAGUUGCCAUCAUUAAGUUGGGCACUCUAGCGAGACUGCCGGUAAUAAACCGGAGGAAGGUGGGGAUGACGUCAAAUCAUCAUGCCCCUUAUGACCUGGGCUACACACGUGCUACAAUGGUCGGUACAACGAGUUGCGAGCCGGUGACGGCAAGCUAAUCUCUGAAAGCCGAUCUCAGUUCGGAUUGGAGGCUGCAACUCGCCUCCAUGAAGUCGGAAUCGCUAGUAAUCGCGGAUCAGCACGCCGCGGUGAAUACGUUCCCGGGCCUUGUACACACCGCCCGUCACACCACGAGAGUUUGUAACACCCGAAGUCGGUGAGGUAACCUUUUAGGGGCCAGCCG
This 820-nucleotide ribosomal RNA is filed under the name uncultured bacterium. Its description in RNAcentral is "bacterial SSU rRNA". It matches the Rfam family "Bacterial small subunit ribosomal RNA", at positions 636 to 1455 of the family's 1533-position model. The record is from RNAcentral.